RNAcentral lists this ribosomal RNA (400 nucleotides) under uncultured Bacillaceae bacterium. RNAcentral's name for it is "bacterial SSU rRNA". It matches the Rfam family "Bacterial small subunit ribosomal RNA", at positions 366 to 759 of the family's 1533-position model. Lineage: Bacteria; Bacillati; Bacillota; Bacilli; Caryophanales; Bacillaceae. The record is from RNAcentral.
CCCACAUGGACGAGUCUGACGGCAGCACGCCGCGUGAGUGAAGAAGGUUUUCGGAUCGUAAAACUCUGUUGUUAGGGAAGAACAAGUGCCGUUCGAAUAGGGCGGCGCCUUGACGGUACCUAACCAGAAAGCCACGGCUAACUACGUGCCGGCAGCCGCGGUAAUACUUAGGUGGCAAGCGUUGUCCGGAAUUAUUGGGCGUAAAGCGCGCGCAGGUGGUUUCUUAAGUCUGAUGUGAAAGCCCACGGCUCAACCGUGGAGGGUCAUUGGAAACUGGGGAACUUGAGUGCAGAAGAGGAAAGUGGAAUUCCAAGUGUAGCGGUGAAAUGCGUAGAUAUUUGGAGGAACACCAGUGGCGAAGGCGACUUUCUGGUCUGUAACUGACACUGAGGCGCGAAAG